Molecule: ribosomal RNA, 503 nt
Filed under: uncultured bacterium
Lineage: Bacteria
Description: bacterial SSU rRNA
Rfam family: Bacterial small subunit ribosomal RNA
Source: RNAcentral
CUACGUGCCAGCAGCCGCGGUAAUACGGAAGGUCCAGGCGUUAUCCGGAUUUAUUGGGUUUAAAGGGUGCGUAGGCCGUUUGAUAAGCGUGCUGUGAAAUAUAGUGGCUCAACCUCUAUCGUGCAGCGCGAACUGUCGAACUUGAGUGCGUAGUAGGUAGGCGGAAUUCGUGGUGUAGCGGUGAAAUGCUUAGAUAUCACGAAGAACUCCGAUUGCGAAGGCAGCUUACCGUAACGUUACUGACGCUUAAGCACGAAGGUGCGGGUAUCGAACAGGAUUAGAUACCCUGGUAGUCCGCACAGUAAACGAUGGAUGCUCGCUGUUGGCCUUUUUGGUCAGUGGCUUAGCGAAAGCGUUAAGCAUCCCACCUGGGGAGUACGCCGGCAACGGUGAAACUCAAAGGAAUUGACGGGGGCCCGCACAAGCGGAGGAACAUGUGGUUUAAUUCGAUGAUACGCGAGGAACCUUACCCGGGCUUGAACUGCAGCUGAACGAUUCAGAGA